CAUUCAUGAAAUGGGAUCCUUUUUCGUUGCUAAUAUUUCUACAGAACGUGUCUGGAGGAAUAUGUAUAUAUACACACAUAUACAGAUACAUACAGAUGUGAGAGUAGAGGUGAUUUUUCUUCUUUGGACUUUGUAAAACUUGUUGAAAUGACCAUCUGUAACUCUUAGAAGAUGAAUAAUUCAGAAUAUCAAUAUGAACACAGAUUUCUACAAUUGAAGACGGAAAAUGGUAAGAGCUACAUGAGAUCUAAAAUGCUAUGGGAUCUCAAAGGCAGAGUUUUGGGGCUGAUGAUCGGGGCUGACUUCUCAGCUGAAGGCAUGACGAUGGCACGCUUUCUCAGCGCCUAGUCCCCAGAGUCUGUGUAAAAUGGGGCCCCAGGAACCUGUCCUCAUAACCAGUAUUUCAGGUGGUUUUCGUGCACUCCCCAGCUUGAGAACUCACGAGUCAGGGGCUUUGAGGCACUCCUGGGGCAGCUGGCAGAACACUCCCAGCACACACCCCCCCCACCCCUAGCCUGGGCUGUGUUCUCAACCCUGAUGCACAUAGGAAACAUCUGGAGAGCUUUCAUCUCUGAAGUCUGAGCCCCUCCUGAGCUCAGACCAAUUAAAUCAGAAACUUUUAGGGGGCGGGAAGAAUGUUGAUUAUUUCUCAAACCUGCCCAGAAGAUUCUGAUGUGCAGUAAGAUUGAGAGCUGCUGCUCUGAGGCUCUCCCUGGACAGGAAGCUCACCUGUUUCUCGGGAAUGCCCUCCCAAGUUAGGGUAAAGCGGUGUGCAUGGCAGGCGUUCCCCUCUGACCUGUGCUGUGUGCACUGUCCCGGGACCUGGGGUUCAGGUGCUGGCUCAGAACAGACACGGGCCAUACCAGUCACCCUGAUAUACCAAGAACCUAGUACAAAAAGUGGUGCUUCUGGAGUUCCCAUUGUGGCUCAGCAGUAACGAAUCUGACUAGUAUCCAUAAGGACGCAGGUUCAAUUCCUAGUCUUCCUCAGUAGGUUAAGGAUCCUAUGUUGCUGUGGCAUAGGCCAGCAGCUGCAGCUCCUAUUCGACUCCUAGCCUAGAAACUUCCGUAUUCCACACCUGAGGCCCUAAAAAGCGAAAAAAAGAAAAAAAGAAAGAAAGAAAAGAAAAAGUGGUGCUUCUGUUGUUAGUGAUAAUAGUUGCUAAUAUCUAUUGUGCAUUUACCAUGGGGCGGAUAGAUACAGAUAUUAAUUCCUUUAAUCUUCACAGCAAUGUUAAGAGGUGGAUAAUAUUAUCGCCCCUGUUUUUAAGAGGAAACUGGGGUGCUGAGGAGUAACUUGUCCAGGGUUUGAGAGGUAGGAUUCCAGUGGGACCAAGAUAUAAACCCAAGCCAUCAGACUCAGAGCUCUCACUCUUUAAUGAUCACUCCUUUACACAAAAUAAAUGCCUGCUGCAAAAUGAAUUUGUAGGUGAGUGAAGGAUACUUAGAUUAUGUCAUCAACUUGGUUGCCCCAGAGCUUGACAUACAUAGGUGCUCUGUCAAUGCUGAAUAAUAAAUGCUCCGAUUUGGUAGGGCCCUGGAACAAUGAGAAACCAAGACCAGCCCCUCCUUCACUCUUUCUCCCUCUCCCCCACCCCAGCCCAACUUCUCUGCAGCAAUAAACAGCGAAGCCAAAAAUAGCCAUCUAAUGACGUUAGAGGAGCAAGGUCAUCUGAAAAUUGCCCAUGGCCACUGGACACCUCCCUAUAGGAUCAAGUAGCAGGAGGGUACCCCAGGCUGGUGCAGCUGUUCCAAGAACAGGAAACAGCCCAGGAGCAGACUUGGAAGCACCACCUCAUGAUGGCAGGGCCCUCGUGAAGGGGGCAGGGGACAAGUGCCAACACUCAAAGGAGAAGCAAGGCCCAAAUGUGAGUGCAGACCCUGUAGAAGAGAACUGGACUUUGUCUGCACUGGAAGUCACCCCCGUCACACGAUCCCAGGAAAUGGCUCAAAAAGCGGGGAAUGCAUGUUCUGUCCUGGUGCACCUGACGGCUUCCUGGCCCCCCACUAUGCUAUUUAUAACGCCGCGGGGGCUGGGGGCGUCUGCUGAACUGGGUUACCAUACAAGCUGGGGUGCAUGGCACGUUCUGAGAGGCUGCCGGGAGAAGAGGGCCCCGCCUGGGAUGGCGAGGGGGCGUCCAAAUAAAGGAUGAGGAGUGGGCCGGGGCAAAGCCCCUCUGGCUGCAGUCCCCUGGCACUCUGACCACCUUGGCUUUCAUCCAGGCCUGCCGAGGCUUGUGACCUGACGGGCAGCUGCCGUAUCCCUGACAAGAACGCAAGCAUCCGGCACGGUCCGAGGAGAUGCCUGCUGGGUGAAACUAGAGAGAGAACCUGCUCUGAGCAUCUGGGGAGCAUAGCUGGAGCUUCCCACAGCAACGUCAAGAAUUCUGUGAGGACUCCAGCCCAAACUUGCUCCGAGGUCCUGAGCUGCUGGCCCUGGCGAGUGACAGAAACAAUCUCUUCUUCAUCCAAGGGGCCCUGUGAUCAAGUGUCAAUUAUCUUAUCUUCCAGGAGUUCCUGAGAAUGCCCAUCCCCUCAAGGGCUGCAACUGGUGCGGUGCAGAGGGCCCUUGAGGGCACAGACCUGGGUCCAAAUUCUUUUAUUUUCUUGGUCUUUUUGUCUUUUUAGGGGCGCACCUUUGGCAUAUGGAGGUUCCCAGGCUACGGGUCUAAUCGGAGCUGUAGCUGCUGGGCUAUGCUGGGUCCAAAUUCUGACUGCCAUUUACCAGCAGUGCGACUUUGGGAAAGUAACUUAAACUCUGAGCCUCAGUUUCCUCCUCCGCCAUAUGACUUGUUGGAAGGACCUAUGGAAAAGCAUUCUUCCUUCGGUCUUUAUUCUGGUAAUGGAGUCUUGGCUAAGGGGAUAAACACCUACUCAACCAACUCAGCAGCUCUCCCGGGUAACAUGAACGGGCUGCACAAAUAUGAUGCCAGGGAGCUUGGAGGGGAGGUGUGUUUUCUCCUCCACACGGGCUCUGUUUUGCCCUGGGUGCUGAGGCUCACACAAGAGAAUGGCUGCUGGCUCCCUGGUCCCUAGAGACCUUUUGAGUUGGGAGACCUGUUGUCCAUCCAAAUAAUGUGCAACGAAGAGUCAGGGAGCCUACAGUGUAGACAUCCACCUCCAACCAAUAAGAACGCGAUUUCUGUAAGGUCAGCUCAAAUCCCUCACCUCUCUGCUUGCACAAACUCCCACGGAGUCUCCUUCCUGAGGAGUGCCUCUGCUCCUCUCGCUGGCUGCUGACUCUAGCAGCUGCUGGCCCUGUCCUGUCAGGCUGUUGGCUUUGUGAGUAAACAGCAGGGGCUUCUGGCAACCCCUGGUGACACACACCCACUGACAAUUAAUAUUGAAUAUGUGACUCAAGCAGGGCCACACUGAGUCACACUGUCCAAUAGGGAUGAAUAAGUGCCCAUUGUGCUCCCAGAGUGCUCUGGGGCCAUGUUAAAGCUAGGAGCAAAUUCUCAUCCAUGGAACUGGAGGAAUGGUCCUUUCCAGAAACAUUGUUUUAAUUUCUACCAGGAAGACACUGAGACCCAGAAAAUGUGACAUGUGCAAGGACAUAAAACCAGAAGCCACUCUCCCAAUCUAGGGUUCAAGCCACUAAUUUUUGUGCACCUUCAGAACAAAAAGAGUCUAAGUCCCUUUGACCAUAAACAUCACAAAAACUGAGUUGCAGCGGAGAGAAACAGAAGAGCAGUAAGACGAGGGGAGACGUCCUUAAACUGCCUCUAGCAGCUGAAGAACCCGCUAUUAGCAACCUCACAUCGUGGAAAAGCCAAGGAUGGGAGGGACUUCCUUGCUGGAGUCUGUCAGAAUUCAUUGAGCAUUCUGUACAGUCUUUAACUGGUUCCAAGGUCAAGAGAAACAUCAGAAAAUAUGUGUGUGUGUCAGAGGACAUUAUUCAGGGAUUAGUCCCCUGGAGUGAUGUGGGCUAGAUUUCCUCUUCCAGAACAACCCUUGGAAAGUCCUCAAGAGCUAGCACUCUGGUCUCCAGCAUAACUUCAUUUAAGUUGAAAUAGAAAUCUAGCCUGCUAGGGGUGCCCUCUUGCAGUGACGGAGCAGCUGACUAUAGAAAAAUAUAAAUGUCAAACUAGGACGAAUGUGGUUAGGACGAAUGUGGUUAGAACAAAUUGUCGGGGGAAAAAAGCUGAAAACAUUCCAGCUGAAAGAGCCUUAUUUAUUUUUCUCAUUCAGUCACCUCUUUGACGAUAUGGAAACUGAGGUCCAGAAAAAGGGAGUGCCUUGUUAAAGGUCAGCCGGUGUGCCAGUGCCAGGAGGUGGAUUAUAUUCCCUGCCUCUACUCUUCCCAAGACACACCGCAGCCCAGCUAGAGUUAAGAAAGACAAAGGGCGUUUCCUUUCAAAUCUGAUCUCCAGGCUCUGAGACAGCCACCCCCCGUGUACGUCUGUCUUAAGAUGUAGAAUUCCAAGACUUUAAAACGACAUACCUAGAAUUCUCUCCAGAAAGGCUUUGCUAAAUGCCGGUGAACUCUUCUGCUGGGCACCAGUGCCAGUUACACUGACAUCAGGUCGGCCAAAGAGAGCUUUCCAGUGUGCAAGUGUGUAUGCCAGAAUGUCGUCAUUGACUAUGCUUUUGGGAGGGACUUACAUUUUAAUAAUUUAAUUGAAUUACAAAGAUUGACUAAGUGGUUUGAAACAGCCAUUUAAAGUUUAGAGACAGACAUAAUACAUUAGGGGGACAAAGAAAUCUGUCCUAUAAAUAGCCUAGAAAAAUCUUUUGCGAAACAAACCUUUUCAAUGGGGAGAAGCAAACUCAGAACACAGGAACAAUAUGCUGCUGUUAGAAUUGGUAUUUUCAGAGUAUGCAACAAUACGGGAAAAAUAUUUGCAUUAAUACUAUGCAAAAUGAAAAAAAGGAAUACUUUGUAUGUCAGAAAAACUCUACACUGUAGAAAAACACACUAAAGUUUUAGGGAGUAUGUCAGCGUAAGGCCACUGACUUUUCAUCGCUCCUCGCCACUAAGCGUAACAAUGCUGCCCCAAACUGCUUUUCCUAUUGUAUUUUACAACUACUCAUUGUUUAGUAUUUGACCCACUGAAAACUACAUCUCCCACCCUUGCUCCUGAAAGGAGUCCUGAGAAUAUCACUGGUACCAAAAUAAGGUAGGCAACAAUUUUUAGCCCAUUCAUACACCUGCCUGUGAGGUUCUGGGAUACCAGUCUCAAACGACAUGGGUUUAGGCAGAUCAGACAGGCCAAGUUUUUAUUUCCUUUCUGUGUCAUAAAAUUUUAAGAAAAGAAGAGAAGGCAAUUGAUGCUUUAGGGCUAGGCAGUCUGGUGAAAUAAUUCUUGACAAAACCUAGUAUUUUCCUAAGCCCCUGCAACAAUAGUUUCUCGGAGUAAAAUGUCAGCAUUUGUCAAGCCCUUUCAGGAAGCUGCUGAUAACCUUCAGUGCUUAAGAGUCAUGCUUUGACGUGAGCCCAGCCUCUUAUUCUCUUGCAAGAAAGAGAAGUGCAAAUACGAUGAGGUAUUUCUGGUUUUGACAUCCGUAACCUUUGCUACAGAAAGUAGAGUGGGUAUGCAGGAAUACAAAAAACAAGGAAAAAGUGUUUGUCCCCAGGCUUCUUUUUUAUAGCAACUACACUGGCUUUAGCUGGAUAACAAAUUGUCCUGGAAUUCUUGGCAUUGGAGCAAACAUGUCAGCUCCGUGGUUACGCCUUCGUCACUGCUCAAAGUACUGCACACUUUAACCUUCCUGCUCUUUCCAUAGGCCUGGGUUUGUCCCAUACCCAGGAAACUUUAUAUGUUGUCUAAACUGAGCAUCCCAGCAGGCUGCAAGGCAGAUGGCAGCUCAGGAUUCAGAAUGUUGACCGACUCCUACCUGGAUCCACACCACCAAGCUAUAACUCAGCCUGGCUGUGCAGAAAUAGGAGCCCGGCCACGUGGCUGACAGCUUUUUUAACUGCUACUCUCAGCAAUGAGGAACUUCUCCAGCAGUCAAGAUUCAGAAAGGAACUGAAAAGGAAGCAUGUCAAGAGCUACCGAAGGGGAUAUACAGGUCCGACCGGAUACUCAAGCCAAUAAGCCCCCAAGGCUCAGCUAAGCCAGGGGGAGCUAAAAGACUGGGUAUUGCCAAGCUGCCCUCAAGCCCUUGGGACCUCAGGUCAUUAGCCCAGGACAUCACACAGAGGAACUGGACAUCACUACUGGACAUCUGCCUUCAGGUCACUAGAUUCUCAUAAGAAGCUUCAUACUUCAGCCAGGCAGAAAGCUAGUACACACCUGAGGUAGCACCUGAACCACAUCAUUCAAUGCAGAACAUAUGAAAGAGCAAGGAACAGAGUAUAAAUUAUGACAUUAUUUAUGGAAAAACAAAAGGGAGCAGGUGAAGUCAUCUCUGCAAGGGAACAUACUUGGCAGCACUAUCUGGGGUGGGAACUGAACUUGUAGCUUUUGAAUUUUGAAUGAAGUGCGACACUUACAGAACAAAUUAACAUUAAAGGAAAUGCAUAAUACUACAAUCUCAUUGCUAUAAAAAAAAGGAAAACGCUGGAGUUCCCAUCGUGGCGCAGUGGUUAACAAAUCCAACUGGGAACCACGAGGUUGCUGGUUCGAUCCCUGGCCUUGCUCAGUGGGCCGAGGAUCCGGCAUUGCCGUGAACUGUGGUGUAGGUUGCAGAAACGGAGUUCCCUGGUAGCUUAGUGUUGUUGCUGCUGUGGCAUAGGUUCAAUCCCUGGCCUAGGAACUUCUGCAUGCUGCAAGCAUGUCCCCCGCCCCAAAGGAACUGCAAUCUCACCUCCAAGAAUCUCUAAACUCCUGAAGCGUUUUAUCUGUCUGUCUCACAUUACUCAAUUACAUCGUAUCUCGUGUUACAAUUGUGUAAGUCUAGACUUACCUCUAUUCAAUGCUGGAGCAACUGCCACUGCAGCCUGUCUACUACUCAAGCUCUACUUUCUAAGGACAAAAUUCUAUGGAAAAGAACUGGUAAGGAAUAAAACAGCAGUCAAGAUGGCAACAAAGCAAUUACAUAAGAACAAAAUGAUCAAAGUAAAAGUGAACGAUGACCUUGUAUUAAUUAAUCAGCACAAGACUAUUAGUAAUGGGAAACUAUAACAAGUUAAAACACCAAGGCGUUCCCGUUGUGGCGCAGCAGAAACGAAUCCGACUAGGAACCAUGAGGUUGCAGGUUCGAUCCCUGGCCUCGAUCAGUGGGUUGAGGACCUGGUGUUGCUGUGAGCUGUGGUGUAGGUCGCAGACGCGGCUCGGAUCUGGUGUUGCUGUGGCUCUGGCGUAGGCUGGCGGCUACAGCUCCAAUUUGACCCCUAGCCUGGGAACCUCCAUAUGUCGUGGGUGUGGCUCUAAAAAGCAAAAAAACAAAAACAAAAACAACCCAACACUAAAAACACAGUCCUUCUCAGGUAUUGCAGAAAUUCCAACAAUCUGCAUGUCUGCAGGUGCUAGGAGCUCUGCAACUUGCCAAACAAAGUGUGGCAGCCCGAUUUCUCAGAACUCAGUAAAUUCCUAUUGGAGGGCAUGUUCUUUGUUUAGGAAAAUUCUGGGGUAGCCUCUGACAAUUGAAAGAGAAGCUCCCUCCUGGACAAGGCCUGAAGGGAUAAAGAACUUGAAUUUCUCUGCAAAAGAAAAGCAAAGAUUGAGUUUCAGGAGAAAUGGGAGGCUGUACUAGAAAAAUGAAGGUCAUGUGAAGUGGUGUAGAAAGAAAGAACUGACUAGACAGGUUGUACUGAGAGGUAGACAGCCACUGGGAAACUGAGAGACAUUCUGGGAAGUAAGAGACAAUGGAUGUCUGCAUCUCCAUUUUAAAAGCUAUUUGGUCUAAAGUAACACACUCUCUCUUGCCUCUCAGAGACCACCACGCGUUACCACCCUGACGUGGGUGUGUCUUUAGGCAGUAAUCCAGAAUGGAGCAAAUGGAGUGGACGGACUCCAUAGGUCCAUAAUUCUCAGUACCACUCUUCUAAAAGCCCCAACUUGAGGGCCAGAUUUAUUCUUCUGCUUGAAACCACCAAAACUAAAAAUGGACAAACUAUAUGAAAAAAUGGUCCCAGGUGGUAAUAUAUGAGUAAGAGUCAAUUAGUUAGAGAACUGCUGAUACAUGGGCGGGAGAAAAGGACAGACACAGAGAGGGGAUCAAGAGAUGGAGAAGUAGAAAAACCAAAGCAAGAGGUAACCAGGAAAAAAGUAGGAAAUUAUCAUCCUUACCUGAUGAGGUCAAAUGGUCAAGGAAAGAUUUAUGAAAAAGAUGAUACCAAAGCUUAUUUUUUUUGUUUUUGGCCACACCUGCGGCAUGUGAAUGUUCCUAGGACGGGGACUGAACCUGCACCAUGGCAGCAACCCAAACCACUGCAGUGACAGUGCUGGAUCCUUAACCUGUUUCGUCACAAGAGAACUCCCAGAGCUGAGUCUUAUAUGGAAGAGUUUACCAGAUGAGAAAAAAACACACUUUGAAGGCAUAACAGACCUCCAGAGUGGUUCCUAGGAGGGAGUUAACAACAUAGGGAAGGAUAUUCUGACAUAAGACCCAAAAAAAAAGUCACAAAGCACUUUCCUUUAAGGAUAGAGGCUAUGCUUUUAAAAGUCCCUAGCUCCGGAGUUCCCGUCGUGGCGCAGUGGUUGGCGAAUCUGACUAGGAACCAUGAGGUUGCGGGUUCGGUCCCUGCCCUUACUCAGUGGGUUAACGAUCCGGCGUUGCCGUGAGCUGUGGUAUAGGUUGCAGACGCGGCUCGGAUCCCGCAUUGCUGUGGCUCAGGUGUAGGCCGGUGGCUACAGCUCCGAUUCGACCCCUAGCCUGGGAACCUCCAUGUGCCGCGGGAGCGGCCCAAAGAAAUAGC
Molecule: long non-coding RNA, 8805 nt
Filed under: Sus scrofa (pig)
Lineage: Eukaryota; Metazoa; Chordata; Mammalia; Artiodactyla; Suidae
Description: lncRNA (ENSSSCG00000057987.1)
Source: RNAcentral